UACAGGUAUUAAUAUGACACAACAUCCCACGUGUGAAAGUGGUUCUAAAACGGUGCCUGCUACUGUUGUUGCCGAUAACACAACACAGUCAAAUGCGCGGUCCGAGGCAAAUGACGUCAUUGAUCACCUUCUGUAGAAAACACCAACGGUUCUACCUCACCCGCAUCCACUUAGGCGUUCACGAGGCAGUCAGGGCACACUUCGGUUCAAUCACUGCCAGUAACCAUCCACUGAGUAGGCAGCCAAGAUGAGAUGCACGAAAAGGCAAACAACUAUACAGCUACGUCUCAUUUGUCGUCAAAGGCACUACAAUAGCCCGCUUAGGUGGCCAUAAUCUUUGCGUGGGGAAGCGCCGUCCAUUACGAAGAAAAACGACCUGAUAUAUCUACUACCCACUGUUGCGGAGGAAAGAUCUCCUAUGUAGAUCAAAUGCCUUGCAAACUGGGUCGAUCGCCUGUUUUUCUUUUCUAUUUCCCCUGCCUUUAUCGGUUACUUAGCCAUAGAAACGCGAGAUGCGUGAGUAUUUUUGUUGCAGUCCCUUCGUGUCGAUAUACGUGAUCUUUUGCUACUACGCGGUCUUGGUAUCUCUACCGACUCGCAGCACUGACAGUGCCCCAUGCCCGCUGCACCCAACAUGUGUACUCUUACCUUCAAUAAAAUUUUCAACUAGCCAUGUCUAGGGAUAAAAUC
This 690-nucleotide long non-coding RNA is filed under the name Varroa destructor (honeybee mite). Its description in RNAcentral is "uncharacterized LOC111255311, transcript variant X1". Lineage: Eukaryota; Metazoa; Arthropoda; Arachnida; Mesostigmata; Varroidae. The record is from RNAcentral.